UGGGGAAUAUUGCACAAUGGGCGCAAGCCUGAUGCAGCCAUGCCGCGUGUAUGAAGAAGGCCUUCGGGUUGUAAAGUACUUUCAGCGGGGAGGAAGGGAGUAAAGUUAAUACCUUUGCUCAUUGACGUUACCCGCAGAAGAAGCACCGGCUAACUCCGUGCCAGCAGCCGCGGUAAUACGGAGGGUGCAAGCGUUAAUCGGAAUUACUGGGCGUAAAGCGCACGCAGGCGGUUUGUUAAGUCACAUGUGAAAUCCCCGGGCUCAACCUGGGAACUGCAUCUGAUACUGGCAAGCUUGAGUCUCGUAGAGGGGGGUAGAAUUCCAGGUGUAGCGGUGAAAUGCGUAGAGAUCUGGAGGAAUACCGGUGGCGAAGGCGGCCCCCUGGACGAAGACUGACGCUCAGGUGCGAAAGCGUGGGGAGCAAACAGG
This 429-nucleotide ribosomal RNA is filed under the name Chloroflexota bacterium. RNAcentral's name for it is "Chloroflexi bacterium partial 16S ribosomal RNA". It matches the Rfam family "Bacterial small subunit ribosomal RNA", at positions 355 to 776 of the family's 1533-position model. Lineage: Bacteria; Bacillati; Chloroflexota. The record is from RNAcentral.